UACGGGGGGUGCAAGCGUUGUUCGGAAUUACUGGGCGUAAAGGGCUCGUAGGUGGCCAACUAAGUCAGACGUGAAAUCCCUCGGCUUAACCGGGGAACUGCGUCUGAUACUGGAUGGCUCGAGUUUGGGAGAGGGAUGCGGAAUUCCAGGUGUAGCGGUGAAAUGCGUAGAUAUCUGGAGGAACACCGGUGGCGAAGGCGGCAUCCUGGACCAAAACUGACACUGAGGAGCGAAAGCCAGGGGAGCAAACGGG
This 253-nucleotide ribosomal RNA is filed under the name uncultured bacterium. RNAcentral describes it as "partial 16S ribosomal RNA". It matches the Rfam family "Bacterial small subunit ribosomal RNA", at positions 524 to 776 of the family's 1533-position model. The record is from RNAcentral.